Molecule: ribosomal RNA, 495 nt
Filed under: uncultured bacterium
Lineage: Bacteria
Description: partial 16S ribosomal RNA
Rfam family: Bacterial small subunit ribosomal RNA
Source: RNAcentral
GACGAACGCUGGCGGCGUGCCUAAUACAUGCAAGUAGAACGCUGAAGGAGGAGCUUGCUCUUCUGGAUGAGUUGCGAACGGGUGAGUAACGCGUAGGUAACCUGCCUGGUAGCGGGGGAUAACUAUUGGAAACGAUAGCUAAUACCGCAUAACAGUAGAUGUUGCAUGACAUUUACUUAAAAGGUGCACUUGCCUCACUACCAGAUGGCCCUGCGUUGUAUUAGCUAGUUGGUGGGGUAACGGCUCACCAAGGCGACGAUACAUAGCCGACCUGAGAGGGUGAUCAGCCACACUGGGACUGGGACACGGCCCAGACUUCUAAGGGAGGCAGCAGUAGGGAAUCUUCGGCAAGGGGCGGAAGGCUGACCGAACAAAGCCGCGUGAGUGAAAAAGGUUUUCGGAUCGGAAAGCUCUGUUGUAAGAGAAGAACGAGUGUGAGAGUGGAAAGUUCACGCUGUGACGGUAUCUGACCAGAAAGGAACGGCUAACUACGUG